UACGUAGGGUGCGAGCGUUAAUCGGAAUUACUGGGCGUAAAGGGUGCGUAGGCGGCCGUGCAAGUCUGGCGUGAAAGCCCCGGGCUCAGCCCGGGAAGUGCGCUCGAAACUGCGCGGCUCGAGUGCCGGAGGGGAGAGUGGAAUUCCUGGUGUAGCGGUGAAAUGCGUAGAUAUGACACAGAACACCGAUUGCGAAGGCAGCUCUCAAAACUGUAACUGACGCUGAGGCACGAAAGCGUGGGUAUCAAACAGG
This 253-nucleotide ribosomal RNA is filed under the name uncultured bacterium. RNAcentral's name for it is "partial 16S ribosomal RNA". It matches the Rfam family "Bacterial small subunit ribosomal RNA", at positions 524 to 776 of the family's 1533-position model. The record is from RNAcentral.